AUUGCUUCUCGGCCUUUUAGCUAAGAUCAAGUGUAGUAUCUGUUCUUAUCAUUUUAAUAUCUGAUAUGUCCUCUAUCUAAGGACAUUAUAUUAACUGGGUUUUUAUCAGCUGGGAGAUGGAAUAGGAGCUUGCUCUGUCCACUCCAUGCACAUAGACCUGGUUUUGAAGUACUUAGUGCACCACCC
This is a small nuclear RNA of Artibeus jamaicensis (Jamaican fruit-eating bat), 186 nucleotides long. RefSeq annotates it as U2 spliceosomal RNA. NCBI's taxonomy places the organism in Eukaryota, Metazoa, Chordata, Mammalia, Chiroptera, Phyllostomidae. The transcript has a single exon. The record is from RefSeq and is a predicted model, not a curated record.